UACGUAGGGGGCAAGCGUUAUCCGGAAUCAUUGGGCGUAAAGCGCGUGUAGGCGGCUAGGUAAGUCGGAUGUGAAAGCCCCAGGCUCAACCUGGGAAGUGCACUCGAUACUGCUUAGCUCGAGUACUGGAGAGGUUGGUGGAAUUCUCGGUGUAGAGGUGAAAUUCGUAGAUAUCGAGAGGAACACCGGUGGCGAAGGCGGCCAACUGGACAGAUACUGACGCUGAGACACGAAAGGCGUGGGGAGCAAACAGG
Molecule: ribosomal RNA, 254 nt
Filed under: uncultured bacterium
Lineage: Bacteria
Description: partial 16S ribosomal RNA
Rfam family: Bacterial small subunit ribosomal RNA
Source: RNAcentral